AACACGACUCUCGGCAACGGAUAUCUCGGCUCUCGCAUCGAUGAAGAACGUAGCGAAAUGCGAUACCUGGUGUGAAUUGCAGAAUCCCGCGAACCAUCGAGUCUUUGAACGCAAGUUGCGCCCGAGGCCAUUCGGCCGAGGGCACGCCUGCCUGGGCGUCACGC
This 164-nucleotide ribosomal RNA is filed under the name Hordeum flexuosum. Its description in RNAcentral is "5.8S ribosomal RNA". It matches the Rfam family "5.8S ribosomal RNA". From Rfam's summary of the family: 5.8S ribosomal RNA (5.8S rRNA) is a component of the large subunit of the eukaryotic ribosome. It is transcribed by RNA polymerase I as part of the 45S precursor that also contains 18S and 28S rRNA. Lineage: Eukaryota; Viridiplantae; Streptophyta; Magnoliopsida; Poales; Poaceae. The record is from RNAcentral.